GACGAACGCUGGCGGCGUGCUUAACACAUGCAAGUCGAACGGAAAGGCCCUGCUUUUGUGGGGUGCUCGAGUGGCGAACGGGUGAGUAACACGUGAGUAACCUGCCCUUGACUUUGGGAUAACUUCAGGAAACUGGGGCUAAUACCGGAUAGGAGCUCCUGCUGCAUGGUGGGGGUUGGAAAGUUUCGGCGGUUGGGGAUGGACUCGCGGCUUAUCAGCUUGUUGGUGGGGUAGUGGCUUACCAAGGCUUUGACGGGUAGCCGGCCUGAGAGGGUGACCGGCCACAUUGGGACUGAGAUACGGCCCAGACUCCUACGGGAGGCAGCAGUGGGGAAUAUUGCACAAUGGGCGGAAGCCUGAUGCAGCAACGCCGCGUGCGGGAUGACGGCCUUCGGGUUGUAAACCGCUUUCGCUUGUGACGAAGCGUGAGUGGCGGUAAUGGGUAAAGAAGCACCGGCUAACUACGUG
This 468-nucleotide ribosomal RNA is filed under the name uncultured bacterium. RNAcentral's name for it is "partial 16S ribosomal RNA". It matches the Rfam family "Bacterial small subunit ribosomal RNA", at positions 28 to 507 of the family's 1533-position model. The record is from RNAcentral.